CCAGCUCACUUGUUCCUUGACGAGAUUGGUGUUGCUUACGAUGAGCAAGACAACUACGUUGUGGUUAAGCACGCUGCUCUGUUCACAUCUACAAUCAUGAGCAAGCUUUUGGCUCGUCCUAACGUGAAGCUCUUCAACGCCGUGGCUGCUGAGGAUCUGAUCGUGAAAGGAAACAGAGUUGGUGGUGUGGUGACUAACUGGGCUCUUGUGGCUCAGAACCACGACUCACAGUCGUGCAUGGACCCUAACGUCAUGGAGGCCAAGAUUGUGGUGAGCUCUUGUGGACAUGAUGGUCCUUUUGGAGCCACUGGUGUCAAGAGGUUGAAGAGCAUUGGCAUGAUCGAUCAUGUUCCUGGGAUGAAGGCUUUGGACAUGAACACUGCUGAAGACGCUAUUGUGAGAUUGACCAGAGAGGUUGUUCCUGGUAUGAUUGUGACCGGUAUGGAAGUUGCUGAGAUCGAUGGUGCCCCAAGAAUGGUGAGUUUCUCUUUUUUUUACAUGUUCUUGACAAAUCUUUGAUUCGAUCAUGUCAUGUCCUGAGUAAAUUUGUUGUGUGAUGUAUAGGGACCAACCUUUGGUGCUAUGAUGAUAUCCGGACAAAAGGCCGGACAGCUUGCUCUUAAGGCUUUGGGACUGCCCAAUGCUAUUGAUGGAAC
Molecule: long non-coding RNA, 656 nt
Filed under: Capsella grandiflora
Lineage: Eukaryota; Viridiplantae; Streptophyta; Magnoliopsida; Brassicales; Brassicaceae
Description: long non-coding RNA (CGRA_LNC000419)
Source: RNAcentral